UUUCACCACUCUUUCUUAUCAUCUAUUAUUGUAUAAUAAAACCCAUCAACCAAAUAACUUAAAAAACACUAAAUAAAACCUUCAUAAAUCGUAUUCCACCUUUUUAUUAAUAUUCAAAAUCUGUAAUCAACAAACCCACCACAUGGAAAAAUCUCAAAAUCGAUCGAGCACGCCGAGAUCUAAUAAUUAUCAUAAAAAUGCCGAAGAUGUGAGUUUAUUCUUGGUCGAUCCACACUAAAAGAAAUUGUUGGAAUAAGAAGAUUUCAUCUUUGUAGCUGAAAUAUAAAACAAUUAUAUAAAAGAAUAAAUUUUGAGGUAUUGAUGGAAAGAAAAGAGAUAAAAAGUUAUUAGUUUGUAAUCUUGUAUGUAUAAAAUAGAUAGAGAUUUAUAUUUUGAUUUCGAUUCGAUUGUAUCUUUUGUUGUAAUGUAAUUAAGUUCUAUUGUGAUA
Erigeron canadensis is the source of this 448-nucleotide long non-coding RNA. RefSeq lists it as uncharacterized. The record is from RefSeq and is a predicted model, not a curated record. The transcript has 4 exons. NCBI's taxonomy places the organism in Eukaryota, Viridiplantae, Streptophyta, Magnoliopsida, Asterales, Asteraceae.